UUUCUUCAUUCUACCACAUGGCGCUGCCAUCGCGUCAAAAUAUUUGCAAAAAUAGGUCUAUUCCUUUGUUUUUUAGUGUUACACUUUUGAGUGUAAGUGUACGAAAUUCUAUGGACAUUUGAGUGUAAAAUGACAGCGGAUGUGACAGCGGCUCAUGACAGCGGACAGUAUUAAACGAAAAUUAUCGGUGUGCCAAUCCAAGCAAAGGGAUAAGGAACUUCCGAAUAUGGCCUAACUGGGGGCACAUAACAUAACAUAACCUAAUCCUAAUAUUUACAUUUGUAAAGAAUAUCCUGUUUGUUAGUUUGUUUUUAUUGUCGAUUGUUCAGCGAAAUUGUGUGCAGCAAAUCAAAUAUAAAGUAGUUUAUCGCCUACAGAACUGAAUUAGUCCAUAGCAGUUAUCAGUUUUUCUUUCUUGGGAAGCUUAUACAUGUAACUUGUAUUGUUGUAAAUUGUGGGAGUAGGGCAGACAGGGAAAAGUCUUAUUUUGUACUGUUCCCAAGGCUCCCCAUGCAAUACAUUUAAAUGAAUUAUCCAAACAAAGCUGGGGACAAUGGAUAAAAGCCACAAGAAGAACAGAUAUAAGGGAACUAAAAUUAAAAUAUGAAAAGUAAACAUUUUAUAAGUGGAACAACCACCAGAUAUUUAAAAGGUAUAAAAAGAAGAAACUGCUGGAAUUUCAAAACAAAUGUGUUUGACUAGUAAAGAUUUGGAUAAAUAACAGGAGUUACUUUGGGCUAUAGCUAAGUGCAGAUUUAUUUCCUUGUGGCUUCCUAUGUUAAUUCUUAUUAAUUAUACACUUAAAUAUGUUUUUAGUCUCAGGAAGAUUUUAUAUUUGAUUAUUUUUGAAUAAACAUUAUUAUUAUUAUUACCUUAAUUUCCAUUAAAUAAAUUAACUGUAAUCAAUAAAGUAAUCGUUUAAUUGUUAAUAAAUUAUCAAGUAUGA
This is a long non-coding RNA of Diabrotica virgifera virgifera (western corn rootworm), 946 nucleotides long. RefSeq lists it as uncharacterized. The record is from RefSeq and is a predicted model, not a curated record. The transcript has 2 exons. Lineage: Eukaryota; Metazoa; Arthropoda; Insecta; Coleoptera; Chrysomelidae.